RNAcentral lists this non-coding RNA (27 nucleotides) under Homo sapiens (human). Lineage: Eukaryota; Metazoa; Chordata; Mammalia; Primates; Hominidae. The record is from RNAcentral.
CCAUAGAUUACAUCACGAUUGUGUCAC